RNAcentral lists this ribosomal RNA (253 nucleotides) under uncultured bacterium. RNAcentral describes it as "partial 16S ribosomal RNA". It matches the Rfam family "Bacterial small subunit ribosomal RNA", at positions 524 to 776 of the family's 1533-position model. The record is from RNAcentral.
UACAGAGGGGGCAAGCGUUAUUCGUAAUUAUUGGGCGUAAAGGGCGCGUAGGCGGCCUGGCAAGUGGAAGGUGAAAUCCCUCGGCUUAACCGAGGAACUGCCUCCCAAACUGCUUGGCUUGAGACCGGGAGAGGUGAGUGGAAUUCCCAGUGUAGCGGUGAAAUGCGUAGAUAUUGGGAGGAACACCAGUGGCGAAGGCGGCUCACUGGACCGGUACUGACGCUGAUGCGCGAAAGCGUGGGGAGCAAACGGG